AAAUUUGUUACGAAAUUAACACAGUCGAAAAUUGUGAUCCAUGAUCAAAUAUUUGCUAACAAGCACAUGUAACUAAUGUACUUUUACAUAUGUACGUUUGGGUGCCUUUUAUAUGUCUUUUUGUGUUUAAAGAAAAAAUAAUAAGAUUAUUAUUCAAAAAAUGCAAUCUAAUGCAAAAUCUGAACAGAAAGUGGGUCAAGUUGAGUACUAUCGGUUAAUUGAGUACUCGUCGUGUCGAUAAUGUAAGUUUUGAGGCAGAACGAUGUUUUAAGGAUACAUAUAUAUGCCUUGCUAAUCGUAUUCUUUUUGUAGUUGAAUCACAAGCGAUUUUUUGGACUUUAAGGCGGCGGAAUCUUGUCAGCAAUAUGAACUGCAUUGU
This is a long non-coding RNA of Bactrocera neohumeralis, 379 nucleotides long. RefSeq lists it as uncharacterized. The record is from RefSeq and is a predicted model, not a curated record. The transcript is spliced from 2 exons. Lineage: Eukaryota; Metazoa; Arthropoda; Insecta; Diptera; Tephritidae.